Molecule: ribosomal RNA, 373 nt
Filed under: Flavobacteriaceae bacterium
Lineage: Bacteria; Pseudomonadati; Bacteroidota; Flavobacteriia; Flavobacteriales; Flavobacteriaceae
Description: bacterial SSU rRNA
Rfam family: Bacterial small subunit ribosomal RNA
Source: RNAcentral
UACAACGAAGAGUUUGAUCCUGGCUCAGGAUGAACGCUAGCGGCAGGCCUUAUACAUGCAAGUCGAGGGGCAGCAUAAGAUUGCUUGCAAUCUGAUGGCGACCGGCGAACGGGUGCGUAACGCGUAUGCAACUUACCUUUUACUAGGAGAUAGCCAAGAGAAAUUUUGAUUAAUAUCCUAUACAAUUAUUUUUUCGCAUGAAUUAAUAAUAAAAGCUCAGGCGGUAAAAGAUGGGCAUGCGUCCUAUUAGCUAGUAGGUGAGGUAAAAGCUCACCUAGGCAACGAUAGGUAGGGGUCCUGAGAGGGAGAUCCCCCACACUGGUACUGAGACACGGACCAGACUUCUACGGAAGGCAGCAGUAAGGAAUAUUGG